CUGCUGCUGAUGAGACCCAAAUAGGUCAAAACAGCUGUCCAGUGU
RNAcentral lists this non-coding RNA (45 nucleotides) under Echinostoma caproni. The record is from RNAcentral. Lineage: Eukaryota; Metazoa; Platyhelminthes; Trematoda; Plagiorchiida; Echinostomatidae.